AUACCUUUCUCGGCCUUUUGGCUAAGAUCAAGUGUAGUAUCUGUUCUUAUCAGUUUAAUAUCUGAUACGUGGGCCAUCGGCCCACAUGAUAUUAAAUUAAUUUUUCAAGGGGGAGAGCCCACCCGCAGUAGCUUGCUAUUGGGGCUCUCCAGCAUCGCCCAUUCGUUGCACUACAGUUUGGGCCAGGCGCACCCCUC
Cucurbita maxima (winter squash) is the source of this 197-nucleotide small nuclear RNA. RefSeq annotates it as U2 spliceosomal RNA. The transcript has a single exon. The record is from RefSeq and is a predicted model, not a curated record. NCBI's taxonomy places the organism in Eukaryota, Viridiplantae, Streptophyta, Magnoliopsida, Cucurbitales, Cucurbitaceae.